UGAACUAUGGCUGUGGCUCGAUAACAUUCUGCAAGCAGCUUACAAGUCAUAAAAUAAAGGCUACAUUACCUCGGAGUGAGUUGUAAUCCUAUUUCUUCAACAAUAGUUUCAUAUUUCUUACGAUUUUGGUGUUGUAUAGACGUUUUGUAGCCUUGUUGGUCGUUUGUUUUGGCCAUACAAACUACGACAAUAAUACAAAGUCAAAGGUUUCAUUUUCUCAGAAGUAUUUCUUUCAACUUUCAAGCUCAGUUUUAUAGAUAUUAUUUUCGAAAAAAGCCGUAAUAUUCACGAAAAAAAGCUGCCAUAGCCGACAGCAAAAAAAAAGUUGUCAAUUUUCCCGCGUUUUUCCCCGUUUCCUAGGAUACGAGGCCUCAUCACGAUUUAUGAAUAAGGUCUAUGGUUUUGCCAUAUAGUUGGUAAAUGUAACACAAUAUACCGAAAAAUUCCGGUAUAUCGGAAAUUUCGGUAUAUCGGUACGGUAUGGCUAAAUAUCCGAUAUUGAUAUACCGAUAUUGAUUUAAUACCGAUAUUUUUGGUAUAUCGGUAUACCGAACAGUCCUACAGUGAACUAGACUUUUGUGGACCGGCACGUGAUACGGUUUUGACCAAUGCAAACGGAAAAAUUGAACUUUGACACUAACCGCAUAACAAUAUUUAAAUUAAUAUUAGUUAUGUUGGAGUAUAUAUUUAAAAAUUUGGAGUGCAUUCUGAUAUCAGUAUUGUAAUGGCGGGAACAUUAUGCUGCCAUGCGUGUUAUAUUGUUGCGCCGAUCUAUGUGUUGUCGAGAUCUAGAUCUUGUGUCUGUCCAUAUUUAAGAUGUCGUAAUUCUGGGGGAACACCGGGGGGAGUGCGAGAAAAAUAUUGAAUUGCGUACACAUAUUAAAUUUGCAAGCUUUUUAUUCUGGAUCUGACUUGAUCAUAGAUAUCUAAUUAUAUACACUAGAUAGUGCAUCUAAUUAUUCUGCAAUUCAAAAAUUGAAGCCGUGAUUGCAGACUCAGGUCGUUCCCAUGAAAUGAGAAGAUUCGCAUAUUUUCUAUUUCUUAAAAACGGAACUUAAACAUGAAGUUAACCCUAUGCCAAAUACGUUUUUAAAGUAUUCAAAUGAUGAAAGUUAUUGUUGUUUUUAAGCGUUUAUUAGCAAGUGGGAACGACCAACAUGGCCGCCAUCUAUUCAAAUGGGGGUAACCGCUGGAAUAUUCUUGGCUUCAAUUUUACUAAAAGAGAUGCGCUAUCUAGUGUAUAUAAGAUAUCUAUGGACUUAAUGCAAAAUAGACGAACACUUCCCGAAGAAACCAAGUAACUAUGGCUUUGUUUAGUUGUGUUAAUAACCAUCAAGGCGAUGAACUGUUUAGCGUUCAUCCUAGAGGCAAGAGAUGUGCUUUAACUGAUUAUGAAUUUAUUGAUAUGUGAAAGCCAGCCAAAACCAUGAGUAUAUAUAGUGUUCAGUUUGUAGAUGUUUAUAGUUUGAAAAUAAACGCGGAAUGUUGUUUAAUCAGGCUUACUGUAAUAAGAUUCCUAGAGCAACCCAAUGUGGAUUGUUGUCUGCAGCACGGUCUGCACAUAUUGACUUUUAUAAUAUAACACCAGCUAGCAAUUUAAUACAUGUAAUAUAGUAUGUCAACUGACUUUUGUUUAAGACAUGACCAUACCUAAUUUUAAGAAUU
Molecule: long non-coding RNA, 1665 nt
Filed under: Paramuricea clavata
Lineage: Eukaryota; Metazoa; Cnidaria; Anthozoa; Malacalcyonacea; Plexauridae
Source: RNAcentral